GAUGAACGCUGGCGGCGUGCCUAAUACAUGCAAGUCGAGCGAACAGACGAGGAGCUUGCUCCUCUGACGUUAGCGGCGGACGGGUGAGUAACACGUGGAUAACCUACCUAUAAGACUGGGAUAACUUCGGGAAACCGGAGCUAAUACCGGAUAAUAUAUUGAACCGCAUGGUUCAAUAGUGAAAGACGGUUUUGCUGUCACAUAUAGAUGGAUCCGCGCCGCAUUAGCUAGUUGGUAAGGUAACGGCUUACCAAGGCAACGAUGCGUAGCCGACCUGAGAGGGUGAUCAGCCACACUGGAACUGAGACACGGUCCAGACUCCUACGGGAGGCAGCAGUAGGGAAUCUUCCGCAAUGGGCGAAAGCCUGACGGAGCAACGCCGCGUGAGUGAUGAAGGUCUUCGGAUCGUAAAACUCUGUUAUUAGGGAAGAACAAAUGUGUAAGUAACUAUGCACGUCUUGACGGUACCUAAUCAGAAAGCCACGGCUAACUACGUG
Molecule: ribosomal RNA, 497 nt
Filed under: uncultured bacterium
Lineage: Bacteria
Description: partial 16S ribosomal RNA
Rfam family: Bacterial small subunit ribosomal RNA
Source: RNAcentral